RNAcentral lists this ribosomal RNA (919 nucleotides) under uncultured fungus. Its description in RNAcentral is "eukaryotic LSU rRNA". The stretch from base 272 to 919 matches the Rfam family "Eukaryotic large subunit ribosomal RNA", at positions 1 to 664 of the family's 3401-position model. The record is from RNAcentral. Lineage: Eukaryota; Fungi.
AUCGAUGAAGAACGCAGCGAAAUGCGAUAAGUAAUGCGAAUUGCAGAAUUCAGUGAGUCAUCGAAUCUUUGAACGCACAUUGCGCCCUGUGGUAUUCCGCAGGGCAUGCCUGUUCGAGCGUCAUUUCAACCCUCAAGCUCUGCUUGGUGUUGGGCCCUGCCCGCUCGCGGCCGGCCCUAAAGACAGUGGCGGUGCCGUCUGGCUCUAAGCGUAGUACAUCUCUCGCUCUGGUGCCCGGCGGUGUCCUGCCAGAACCCCCCAACUCUGUGGUUGACCUCGGAUCAGGUAGGGAUACCCGCUGAACUUAAGCAUAUCAAUAAGCGGAGGAAAAGAAACCAACAGGGAUUGCCUCAGUAACGGCGAGUGAAGCGGCAACAGCUCAAAUUUGAAAUCUGGCCCUUUCAGGGUCCGAGUUGUAAUUUGUAGAAGAUGCUUCGGGUGCGGCGCCGGUCUAAGUUCCUUGGAACAGGACGUCACAGAGGGUGAGAAUCCCGUACGUGCCCGGUGGUCGCCCCCGUGUGAAGCUCUUUCGACGAGUCGAGUUGUUUGGGAAUGCAGCUCAAAAUGGGUGGUAAAUUUCAUCUAAAGCUAAAUAUUGGCCAGAGACCGAUAGCGCACAAGUAGAGUGAUCGAAAGAUGAAAAGCACUUUGGAAAGAGAGUUAAACAGUACGUGAAAUUGUUGAAAGGGAAGCGCUUGCAACCAGACUUGCGCGCGGCCGAUCAUCUGGUGUUCGCACCAGUGCACUCGACCGCGCGCAGGCCAGCAUCGGUUUAGGUGGCUGGAUAAAGGCCUCGGGAAUGUGGCUCCCCUCGGGGAGUGUUAUAGCCCGAGGUGCAAUGCAGCCUACCUGGACCGAGGACCGCGCUCCGGCUAGGAUGCUGGCGUAAUGGUUGUAAGCGACCCGUCUUGAAACACGG